UCGCCUGUUUUAUCAAAAACAUGUUCUUAUAGUAUUGUUUGUAUAAGGUCUAACCUGCCCAAUGAUUUUAUUGAAUGGCCGCGGUAUUUUAACUGUGCUAAGGUAGCAUAAUCAUUUGUCUUUUAAUUGAAGGCUAGGAUGAAUGGUUGGACGAAGCAUAAUCUUUCUUUAGCUUAAUUUAUGAAUUUAAUUUUUUAGUUAAAAAGCUAAAAUUCUUUUAUUGGACGAGAAGACCCUAUAGAUCUUUAUAUUUAAUGAAUUGAAUAAUAUGGUUAAUUUAUUAUUCAAUUAAAAAAGAUAUUUAAUUGGGGUGAUUCGAGAAUUUAGUUAACUUCUAAUUUUUGUAUUUCAUUGAUUUAUGUUUACUUGAUCCAUUUUAUUGAUUAUAAGAUUAAGUUACCUUAGGGAUAACAGCGUAAUUUCUUCGGAGAGUUCAUAUCGAUGAAGAAGUUUGCGACCUCGAUGUUGGAUUAAAAUAAGUAAUUGAUGGAGUAGUUUAAUAACUAGGUCU
Molecule: ribosomal RNA, 511 nt
Filed under: Agriocoris flavipes
Lineage: Eukaryota; Metazoa; Arthropoda; Insecta; Hemiptera; Reduviidae
Description: partial 16S ribosomal RNA
Rfam family: Bacterial large subunit ribosomal RNA
Source: RNAcentral